AGUGAACGCUGGCGGUAGGCCUAACACAUGCAAGUCGAACGGCAGCACAGUAAGAGCUUGCUCUUACGGGUGGCGAGUGGCGGACGGGUGAGGAAUACAUCGGAAUCUACUUUUUCGUGGGGGAUAACGUAGGGAAACUUACGCUAAUACCGCAUACGACCCACGGGUGAAAGCAGGGGAUCUUCGGACCUUGCGCGAUUGAAUGAGCCGAUGUCGGAUUAGCGAGUUGGCGGGGUAAAGGCCCACCAAGGCGACGAUCCGUAGCUGGUCUGAGAGGAUGAUCAGCCACACUGGAACUGAGACACGGUCCAGACUCCUACGGGAGGCAGCAGUGGGGAAUAUUGGACAAUGGGCGCAAGCCUGAUCCAGCCAUACCGCGUGGGUGAAGAAGGCCUUCGGGUUGUAAAGCCCUUUUGUUGGGAAAGAAAAGCAGCAGGUUAAUACCCCGCUGUUCUGACGGUACCCAAAGAAUAAGCACCGGCUAACUUCGUG
Molecule: ribosomal RNA, 492 nt
Filed under: uncultured bacterium
Lineage: Bacteria
Description: partial 16S ribosomal RNA
Rfam family: Bacterial small subunit ribosomal RNA
Source: RNAcentral